AUCACUUCUGGGCUUUGGCUAAGAUCAUGUGCAGUAUCUAUUCUUAUCAGUUUAAUAUCUGAUACGCCUGCAUCUGAGGAUUAGAUAUUAAAUGGAUUUUUAGGCCUAGGAGUCGGAAGAGGAGCUCGCUCAGUCCGCUGCAUGCAUCGACCUGGUAUUGCAUUACUUCAGGACGGUGGUAGCUUA
Trichomycterus rosablanca is the source of this 186-nucleotide small nuclear RNA. RefSeq annotates it as U2 spliceosomal RNA. Lineage: Eukaryota; Metazoa; Chordata; Actinopteri; Siluriformes; Trichomycteridae. The record is from RefSeq and is a predicted model, not a curated record. The transcript has a single exon.